This is a non-coding RNA of Marmota flaviventris (yellow-bellied marmot), 635 nucleotides long. The record is from RefSeq and is a predicted model, not a curated record. NCBI's taxonomy places the organism in Eukaryota, Metazoa, Chordata, Mammalia, Rodentia, Sciuridae.
ACACCAGGGUCACUUUGUGCAUUCUGUGGAACUAGACAAGUGGACAGUGACGUGAGUCCAUCAGUGUGGCCUGGCACAGUGCAGUUCCCGCCCUCAUCCUGUCUGAGCUCCAGCUGUUCCUCUCCCCCCUAUAUGCUGUGGACCUUCAUGAUUUUCCAUCCUUUAGCUUCACCUGGGCAGAGUGACAAGGGCCUGGAAUUUACAGCAGUAAAUGUUGUCUAAAACAGUGACUUUUGGCUGCCAGGUCUGAAAUCAAACACCACACAUGGGACAUGAUCCUGAGAAAGCAUUUCAUGGAGCAGAAAACUAAGAAGUCCUCCCUGUACCUGUGCCCUUCACCCUUCUCCAUCCCGGGCUCCAGAGCAAAGCUAUAGCCUCUGCUGAGCUGGUGUUUGCAGGGUCAGGGCUUAAAAUAGUGUCCCUACUCUGCUUCAUUCUGAUUGUUCCUGAUUUUGUGUUACAUCCAUUGAGGGACAGCUCUCAUGUUCUUUUGACAAGUGUCCAUCACCGUUCCUUAGUCCUGGUGUUCACCCAGACCUCCUGCUCUCAAACAUCAAAUGUGGAGCAUAAACCUACUUGUUAUAGUUGAAUUAUACAACCUGGCACAAGCAAUAAAGAAUUUUACAUUUCUGGUU